CCUACGGGAGGCAGCAGUGAGGAAUAUUGGUCAAUGGACGGAAGUCUGAACCAGCCAUGCCGCGUGCAGGAAGACGGCUCUAUGAGUUGUAAACUGCUUUUGUACAAGGGUAAACCUGAAUACGUGUAUUCAGCUGAAAGUACUGUACGAAUAAGGAUAGGCUAACUCCGUGCCAGCAGCCGCGGUAAUACGGAGGAUCCAAGCGUUAUCCGGAUUUAUUGGGUUUAAAGGGUGCGUAGGCGGAUUGAUAAGUUAGAGGUGAAAUGUCCGAGCUUAACUCGGGAACUGCCUCUAAUACUGUUGGUCUAGAGUGUAGAUGCGGUAGGCGGAAUGUAUGGUGUAGCGGUGAAAUGCUUAGAGAUCAUACAGAACACCGAUUGCGAAGGCAGCUUACCAAUCUAUAUCUGACGUUGAGGCACGAAAGCGUGGGGAGCAAACAGGAUUAGAUACCCCAGUAGUC
This 460-nucleotide ribosomal RNA is filed under the name uncultured bacterium. RNAcentral describes it as "partial 16S ribosomal RNA". It matches the Rfam family "Bacterial small subunit ribosomal RNA", at positions 338 to 795 of the family's 1533-position model. The record is from RNAcentral.